GUCGGGUUGGUAGCCGAACGGUUAAAGCAAACGGUUAAAGAUCGUUCGUGCGCUAGCCAAGGUGGGUUCAAUCCCUACCAACGACA
Non-coding RNA from Molorchus minor, 86 nucleotides. Lineage: Eukaryota; Metazoa; Arthropoda; Insecta; Coleoptera; Cerambycidae. The record is from the annotation of a GenBank genome assembly.